GGGAGGGUGAGAGAGAGUGGGAGAGGGAGGGAGAGGGAAAGACAGAGAGAAACGAUUGCAGAAUUUAGAAGUCUGCAAAAAGGAGAAGCUAAGCAAUCCGUUUCAGAGGCGAGGCAGGAGAAACAGAAAGGCGGAAAGAAGUGUUCAGAAGACGGGGGCCAGAUCCACCUGUAGAUCACUCGCUUCGGGGUCUCGCUGAACUGCAGCUACUUGUAUACCGGCUCGCUGCUCGUCGUUGGUGAAUCAAUCCAGCACAGAGGCGGUUUCAGCACCAGAGUCUGGACAGCUCCCGGAACUCCAAUCGACUCGCUCUGAGCUGAGCUGCGCCAAAAGCUACAGCUGAAGGACCAGUUAUAAAAAGCCAGGAAGGCGAUGUCAGACCUCCCUUCUAACCCCUCCGACCAGGCGACCUUAAAGGAGUGGACAUGUGUGCCACUGACCAGCUGACCAUUGGAGGUAGCUGGGGGACCCCGGUUCGGUGAACGGGGGAGCGGUGCACCCUGGUGGCAGGAGGGCUGUACUGCAACGUGAGGAAAGGCCCGACACGCUGGAAUGUUUUGGAGCGCAUUUCUGAUCUCUGGCAAGAGACGAGCUUUUCCUAAAACGAAGACAUCUCGUGUUUCUGUUUCAUGUUAUAAUUAAAUCUGUAUAUGUUUGGUCAAAUGCUGUGCUUUUCGUCCGCUGUGUGCAAUAUAUAUAUAGUCAGUUUCUGUAAUUUUAUAUUUUAAAAGCAUGCCUGUAUUCUACAUAAAUAUUAUUUUAAACGACAUAAAUGAUGAUGUACUUGUGGUUGAAACAGCAGGGGUUUGAUUGACACUUUAAGAUGAAAAAGCCCUCUCAUGAGCAUAUCUUCGCCUACUCACAUAAAUACCAGAAAUACGAAAAGAAACGUAAUAAAUUCAAUGACAAACCAUCGCUGUGUUGCAGAAAAAAAAACCGGCAUUGUAAUUGACUGAGUCAUUUAUAGACAUAUUGAGAACAAUGAGAAGCCCACAAACACAUCGUGCGCAAACUGCUUGGAGGUACUGACACAGGGAUCCAGUUCAUUUACUGACCACAGGAGGGCAGUGUUGUGCACAUGCAGCGAGCAAGUGCAGCUCAGUGCUGAAGCUACCCCGCCUGUGUUUUCUGCCCAUUGUUUCCCUGCAGAAUUGAUUCAAGGUCGCGCAGAUUGUUUGAGGCUGCCUGCCACUCAAUCGGAUUUCUCUCGUCCCGCCACUUAUAGGAAGCAUGGAGGGAGUGAAAUGAGAUGGUUCUUUUAGGGUGACUUCACCUGAAUUCAGGUCGUCAUUGCAAUACUAUGUGCAGUAUGUUCAAUCAUAAAACAUUUUUAAACAGUGUUAAAGACUGUAGUUUACGUCAUCGUGGCUACGCUAUGGGGGCCCGGAGUUAUGGGCGGGGCUUAGCCCCCCCCCACCUGUUUUAGAUUCUAAAUUGAUAUAAAAAAAAUCUUGAUAUAAGAAAUCAUUAAUUAAAUCAAAUUAAAGUAAAGCACGAUAAUAACAAAUCAUUUAAAAAUGUCGAGUUGCUUCUGGUGAUGGGAACCCCCGCAUUGUCAGAUUGUUUACAAGAGCGUAUGCUUUUUAUAUGCAGUAUUGAAUAGUCGGUUGAAAGAAGGCAUUAUAUGUACAUUCGUUACUUGACAGUGAUUUGGUGUGAGGGGGCUCUGUUCAUUGCAAUCUCUGCAUAGGGCCUGCUCACUGUCUGACUGUAUUGGUUUUAAGUACUGUUCCUCAGACACCACGUCGUUGCUGUGGUAAUAAUAAAUAAAGAAAUACGAGCUCGUUGAUUUAUUUUUUCUUUUCCAAACUGUGCCCGCCCUAUAAGUGGACGCCCCCCACAGCGUCCAUGCCGCCGCCCGGGCCUGGGCAG
Acipenser ruthenus (sterlet) is the source of this 1872-nucleotide long non-coding RNA. RefSeq lists it as uncharacterized. The record is from RefSeq and is a predicted model, not a curated record. The transcript has 5 exons. NCBI's taxonomy places the organism in Eukaryota, Metazoa, Chordata, Actinopteri, Acipenseriformes, Acipenseridae.